This 517-nucleotide ribosomal RNA is filed under the name uncultured bacterium. Its description in RNAcentral is "bacterial SSU rRNA". It matches the Rfam family "Bacterial small subunit ribosomal RNA", at positions 15 to 518 of the family's 1533-position model. The record is from RNAcentral.
GAUCCUGGCUCAGGAUGAACGCUAGCUACAGGCUUAACACAUGCAAGUCGAGGGGCAUCAGGGUCUGUGCUUGCACAGAUUGCUGGCGACCGGCGCACGGGUGAGUAACGCGUAUCCAACCUUCCCCUUAGUAGAGGAUAGCCCGGCGAAAGUCGGAUUAAUACUCUAUGUUGUUCAAUGCGGACAUCUAAGUUGAACCAAAGGUUUACCGCUAAGGGAUGGGGGAUGCGUCUGAUUAGGGUAGUAGGCGGGGUAACGGCCCACCUAGCCAACGAUCAGUAGGGGUUCUGAGAGGAAGGUCCCCCCACAUUGGAACUGAGACACGGUCCAAACUCCUACGGGAGGCAGCAGUGAGGAAUAUUGGUCAAUGGACGAGAGUCUGAACCAGCCAAGUAGCGUGCAGGAUGACGGCCCUAUGGGUUGUAAACUGCUUUUAUGCGGGGAUAAAGUGAGGGACGUGUCCCUUAUUGUAGGUACCGCAUGAAUAAGGACCGGCUAAUUCCGUGCCAGCCGCCGC